GCAGAUCCUCGGCACUGGUUUGGCACAAGACUUCCCGAGCAGGACAAGUAACCCACAAAAUGUAGCCAGUAUCCAGGGCUGCUCACAGCUUUGCUUCUUGUUAAGGAAGAUGAUGGUCUUAAAAUGGUUUUACCACAAGAAACUUCCCCUACAUGGAAUAUACCUGUUGCUUUCCCCUGAGGCCUCACACUGCCACUCUGAGGAGUAUAAUGAUAGAUCCAGAGGGUUUACCACAGAUCAUGGGGAGACAAUACAGGCCAACGCUGGCAUGUGAAGACUCCAAGAAACGAAUCACAAGACCCUGAACUCUCCCCGACACACCCUCUGUGGAUCUUCCAAGUCCAGGGACAGAGCUGGCUGGACUUUUCUCACAGUAAUGUACAGUAUGAGUAAACUUUUAUGACCAAAACCUUUAUCCAACACUGAGCUAUUGAACUGAGUAUUGCUAUUGUUGUCACUGGCCCCU
This is a non-coding RNA of Maylandia zebra (zebra mbuna), 466 nucleotides long. Lineage: Eukaryota; Metazoa; Chordata; Actinopteri; Cichliformes; Cichlidae. The record is from RefSeq and is a predicted model, not a curated record.